AUACUUACCUGGCAGGGGAGAUACCAUGAUCACAAAGGUGGUUUUCCCAGGGCGAGGCUUAUCCAUUGCACUCUGGAUGUACUGACCCCUGCAAUUUCCCCUAGUUAUUGUGGGAAACUAGACUGCCUAAUUUGUGCUAGUGGGAGACUGCAUUUGUGCUCUCUCCUG
This is a small nuclear RNA of Molossus molossus (Pallas's mastiff bat), 168 nucleotides long. RefSeq annotates it as U1 spliceosomal RNA. The record is from RefSeq and is a predicted model, not a curated record. The transcript has a single exon. NCBI's taxonomy places the organism in Eukaryota, Metazoa, Chordata, Mammalia, Chiroptera, Molossidae.